This 430-nucleotide ribosomal RNA is filed under the name uncultured bacterium. Its description in RNAcentral is "bacterial SSU rRNA". It matches the Rfam family "Bacterial small subunit ribosomal RNA", at positions 355 to 775 of the family's 1533-position model. The record is from RNAcentral.
UGGGGAAUUUUUCGCAAUGGGCGAAAGCCUGACGAAGCAACGCCGCGUGGAGGAUGAAGGCCCUAGUGGUCGUAAACUCCUGUCUAGCGGGACGAAAGUAUUGGAGGUGAAUAAUCUCCGAUAUUGACUGUACCGCUGGAGGAAGCUCCGGCCAACUCCGUGCCAGCAGCCGCGGUAAUACGGAGGGAGCAAGCGUUACUCGGAAUUAUUGGGCGUAAAGGGCGCGUAGGCGAUCUGAAAAGUUCUGUGUGAAAGCCCACAUGUUAACUGUGGAAGUGCACAGAAAACUGUUGGAUUUGAGUUCAGGAGAGGAAAGCAGAAUUCCCGGUGUAGCGGUGAAAUGCGUAGAGAUCGGGAGGAAUACCAGUGGCGAAGGCGGCUUUCUGGACUGACACUGACGCUGAGGCGCGAAAGCCAGGGGAGCAAACGG